Long non-coding RNA from Aphis gossypii (cotton aphid), 578 nucleotides. RefSeq lists it as uncharacterized. Lineage: Eukaryota; Metazoa; Arthropoda; Insecta; Hemiptera; Aphididae. The record is from RefSeq and is a predicted model, not a curated record. The transcript is spliced from 3 exons.
UAUUGAUAAUAUAUACCUAUUAUGAGUUUUUCAUUUUUGAUAUUGUAUAGGUCCUAUUGAGUACAAUUAACAAUUUGAGUAUUUCAAUAUUUUAGCCUUUCUUUAUGUUAAAUAUGAGUAAGAAAAUGAACAAAUACAAUAUAUGUAUAUUUUACUUAAGCUCUAUUAAAUUACAUCCUGGAAUAUCUUUUCAUCAGAGUCCUUUCUAUAGAAGCCCAAACUUCAACAGCUAAAGUAAAUGCAGUCUCUAUAUUCAUAUCUGUCUUAGAACUAGUUUCAACAUAAGGAGCAUUCAAAUAUUCUGAACACCAUUCGUCUGCUUCAUCUUUAGAAACUACUCGAUCUUCAACAACAACAAAUGGAAAAUUCACAUCAGUUGUCCUGGAAUAUUGUAAGAAUUCUUUUUUCCAUGAUUCUACAGUUUUAAAACUUUGGACAUCGUCAACAGCAAAUGUCAGCAAACAAAUGUCAGUUCCUCUAUAAAAAGGAGUUCGCAAUGUUCGAAACCUUUCUUGUCCUGCAGUAUCCCAAAUCUAAAUGUAUUUAAAAAUUAAAAAUAUAAAAAUGUUUUAACGACA